CACUCACCUACUAAUAAGGUGUGAGUGUUCUGAUCACUUACGGCCCCUAUCAGAGGCAAGUGGAAGCUGUCUGCAUCUCAUCCCUGAACCUUCAAUAGACUGAUAGAAGAAAGGUGACAGUCACCCGCUCAGAGUUCCUCCCUCUGCUGGUCAGAUGUAAUCUUAGUGCUGGAUUGUCUCUUAGACCCAAUCUUGGAAUCUUGGACCAAGCAGAAAAUGAGUCCUGUGGCCAUCUGUAAGGCAUUUGCCCAUUCUGUGCAUCUUUGUCUUCAUCAUCUCUAACAACUGAGCUGGAGAAAUAUGGGGGCUGUUUGCUUUUGCUGUCUACCAGCCCAGAGGGGAGACACCAAACUGACGAUCAGGCGGAAACAACAGGAUUACCAGCAGCUCCCACAGCCACACUGAACAGGAAGCAGUUCUAGCUCCUCCAACAGGAAGAAUUUCUCUCCUAAUUCCACGGACUCUGCAGUUGGCUGAUGGUAUAGCUGCUCUCACUGUCUACCUCUAAGCUGAUCUCUAUGGUCAACAUGUCAUUCUACUCUGAUGUUGAGAACUGAGUCCACACUCAUUUUGAGUCACAAGGAGAGAAAACAACACUUAAGCCCCCGGAGCUGAAAACAGGACAGGCUGGGCUGCCCACAGGAUUGGGGACCACACAGUCUGCCCACAGGAGGACUGAGGCUGGGCUGCCCACAGGAGGAAGUGGGGCCGAAGCACAGGCAAGGUGAGGCCACUGGAGAGAGCAAGGCAGGCAGUUCAAGGAGAAAGUUAGAUGUAGUCACC
Molecule: long non-coding RNA, 783 nt
Filed under: Mus spicilegus (steppe mouse)
Lineage: Eukaryota; Metazoa; Chordata; Mammalia; Rodentia; Muridae
Description: lncRNA (ENSMSIG00000012401.1)
Source: RNAcentral